CAGAGUUUCACUCUUGUUGACCAAGCUGCAGUGCAAUGGCGUGAUCUCGGCUCACUGCAAUCUCUGCCUCCCAGGUUCAAGUGAUUCUCCUGCCUCAGCCUUCUGAGUAGAUGGGAUUACAGGUGGCUUUUCUACAAUAUAAAGAUGGAAAUGGGAUGAAGAUGUUCAUUGCAAAUUAGGAAAGCUCUUCCACAAGUUCACCAAUGGAAAUAACAUCAAGAGUUUUUCAUCGUCUUAGUGUGCAAGGUA
Molecule: non-coding RNA, 249 nt
Filed under: Pongo abelii (Sumatran orangutan)
Lineage: Eukaryota; Metazoa; Chordata; Mammalia; Primates; Hominidae
Source: RNAcentral